Molecule: long non-coding RNA, 2863 nt
Organism: Raphanus sativus (radish)
Lineage: Eukaryota; Viridiplantae; Streptophyta; Magnoliopsida; Brassicales; Brassicaceae
Exons: 13
Source: RefSeq, a predicted model, not a curated record
CUCCGAAGUAUUUCGGGGUUUAGCUCCAAAAUAUUCUAACCCAAAAACUUGUUAUCACUUAAUGUUACGACAGAACAAAAAAAGACCAAACUCUUAAACUUUCUCUCAAACUUACCGAGUCUUCUUCUCGAUCUCGCCUCCGUCAUGUUGUCUGGUCCUUUCUCCAUGGCUCACACCCGACAAACCCAUAAUCGUCGUUGUCCAUGGCCACUUAAGUCGAAUCUCCAGGACGUCUCUGCACUGUUUCUCUAAGCAAGACGAAGCCUCCCAGUUCUCAUGGCAAAGAUGCUCACAGGUAUACACCCUAAGGUUUUUAAUUCUUCUUUACUCGACUGGCUUUCUUUUUUGGGGAUAGAGACAUAGUUAUUAGAAAGGUGCUUUAUAUUCAGUUAAAAAGGUUCGAGCUUCAGAAAAUAGUGGCUGCUUUCCUCAACCUUAAAGCUCUAUGAGCAUCUUCUCAGUCGCCUUUAACAGGUACCAUUGUUCCAAGGCAUCUAGAGAGUCAUAGACAAGUCCAAUACUUUUUCAUCAGAGUUCUCCAUACCAGUCAUAACACUCAUCCUCGACUGCACAUAUACUCUCUCAAUAAUCGGAAGGCCAUUUCUGGUUUUGUCUUUCUUCUCUUAUUGCAGAGAACUUGCACAGAAUAUCACUGAAGAAGUUGAGUUCAUUGUUGUUUCACAACACUUCUCCAACACUGAUCAUGAUGAAGAUGACAGCCAAAGCUCCAACUCACAAACAUCAGUCACAACUCAUUGACAUUUUACACGGUGAAAGGAUGAGUACUUCUGCUGAUAAAUUUUGCUUGCCAAAAAGAAUGUUCGAACCUGGUUCAAAGAAAAGAGUUUUGCAACGAGUCAAUAAGCAUUGCACCCUUAAGUAUGUUGCUAUUGUUAAAGAGGCUUUGGGCAGUGAUUUCAAGAAGAUUGAAGAUUCGUUCUUAGGCCUUAUAAUUCAGAUGGGGAUGAGGAAUAACGCUAUGGUGUUUUCAAGGAAUCUGAUCCAUGAGUUGCUUCUUAGGAGAAUUAAAGUAGGCAAGAAGAAUUUAUGGUUUUCUUUUGGAGAACAGUUGAUGCGGUUUUCUCUACGAGAAUUCCAUUUGGCAACAGGUCUACCUUGCCUUGUUGGCGAAGAAGAAAAAGAAGAAGGAUCCAUUGGAUGGUGAAGAAUCAUACUGUGAAGACCUUGGUUAAACUAUUUGUUAAAAAUAGUAAGGAAUUUACAGCUAACCAGAAGCUGAGAUUAGGGGCUACUAUCCUUGUGGAAUCGAUAUUGAUAGCCAACAAUCCAGUUAAUAAAAUACCCGUUGAGAAACUGUUGAGAGCUAGAAACUUUGAAGAGUUCUGCAAGUAUCCUUGGGGGAAUGAAACCUAUGAUGCUCUACGUGCUGCAGUGGAGAAGAUUGAAACUACAGAUUUGGUGAAGGUGCAAUAUGGAAUUUCUGGGUUUAUAUAUGCCAUUCAGCUUUGGGCUUUGUCUUCUGUGGAUCAACUUGGCUCAUUUUUUGGUGAUGAAGAUGAAGAAACUCAGUUUCCAUUGUGCUUGCAUUGGAUAUGAACAAAAUCGCCUACUUUGGAUGAGGUGACCAAAAUUGCUGAAAACAAAAAGGUUGUUGCCAAAUGCAUCCUUGGAGAUCAGGAAUUGCAUAGCAACUUGGUUGAAGAAGAUGUCGACACUGAGUUUGGAAAAGUUGUUGAUCUUGUCAAGAGAGGAUAUCGUUUGAAGAGACAAGAUUGGCGUAGUGGAAGUGUCAACAUUGCUGUUGCGGAAGCUGAGAUAGAGGAAAACAAUUAUGGUCCAGGGAGUGAUGCAACUGAUAAAGAGAAGAUUGAAUUCCUCACCAAGCAGCUAGAGAUUUAUAAUAAAAAAAAGUGGAGAAGCUUGAAGAUCGUCUGGGCAUUCGUCGAGAAACCGAGAAUGAAACUGAUGAGUUUCAUGAGACUCCUCAAGGUGCCACAAAAACCAAGGAAAAUGAUAAGCAUCAGGAAAGGGAAUUGGAGGAGGAUGAAUGUUUGCAUUCUUUCUUUGAUUCCAUAAGGCAAUAAGUUUCUAAGAAAAAGACUCAAGAUAAAGAAGAACAACUAGUGGAUAAUGAUGCAGAUGACAGUGAAAAAGAACGAGAAACUUCAAAAGACAAAGAAGGUCAAAUAGAGGAAGCAGAACGAAAUGGUGAAGUUGCUAUCAGUGGUGAAAGAAGUGAAACCUCCAAAGACAAUGAAAAGGAUGAAGAAGUAAAUGAAGAUGCAUCCAAAGAGCCCGAGCAAGUUGCUGACAGUGGUGAAGAAAGUGAAACCUCCAAAGACGAUGAAAAGGAUGAAGAAGUAAAUGAAGAUGCAUCCAAAGAGCACGAGCAAGUUAUAGAGAAGAAGCAAGGAAAAAGAAAGAAGAUACGAAAUAUUAAAAUCUGUUUACAAAGGUUUAUAAAAUUAUCUAAAGACACUAAAAAUUCUUUUUUUUUAAAUAGGAUCGGAUGGAAGAGGUUGAAGAAGUAAAUGAAGAUACAACCAACAUUUGCAAGGAAGUUAAGAAUAAGAAACCAAGAAAAAGGUAACAACUUUUAUAAGCUCUAUUUACAAUGUGGUUCAGAAUGAAUGUGUUUUGGGUUACUGCUUUUUUGUUAAAUAGAGGAACACCGAUGAGGAACCUGUCGACGAUGCUAGCACCUCCAAAUCCAAAAAACACAACCUACGGAUGUUUCUGCUGAUGAUGUUAUAGAAGGUGUAUUGGAAGAUCUCACCCUCAAGGUGUGAACAAUAAGACAGCAACAAAGUAGAUUAACUUACUAAUACACAUAACAAAUUAGAAUUUGAUAAACAUGUUGUUGUUUUUUCUUUGAAAUAGGAACAAGAAGAAGAAGAACAAG